AUGACUUUGGCUGAUCUUUUAGAUGAGAGUAAAAUGGUUCUUGUUUCGUAUGGGGAUUUAGAAGUUGAAAUUAAUGGAAUUCAACACGAUUCUAGGCUUGUAAUUUCUGGUAAUUUGUUUGUGUGUUGUGUUGGAAGUAAAAAUGACGGACACAUGUUCUUGAGAGAGGCUGAUAAAAGAGGAUAUGAUGUUGUUAAGUUAACACUCAUAACCGUUACUUCUCUACCUUACUUAAAUUGA
Molecule: long non-coding RNA, 240 nt
Filed under: Vicia faba (fava bean)
Lineage: Eukaryota; Viridiplantae; Streptophyta; Magnoliopsida; Fabales; Fabaceae
Source: RNAcentral